Molecule: ribosomal RNA, 1372 nt
Filed under: uncultured bacterium
Lineage: Bacteria
Description: bacterial SSU rRNA
Rfam family: Bacterial small subunit ribosomal RNA
Source: RNAcentral
GAUGAACGCUGGCGGCGUGCCUAAUACAUGCAAGUCGAGCGAACGGACGAGAAGCUUGCUUCUCUGAUGUUAGCGGCGGACGGGUGAGUAACACGUGGAUAACCUACCUAUAAGACUGGGAUAACUUCGGGAAACCGGAGCUAAUACCGGGUGAUAUUUUGAACCGCAUGGUUCAAAAGUGAAAGACGGUCUUGCUGUCACUUAUAGAUGUAUCCGCGCUGCAUUAGCUAGUUGGUAAGGUAACGGCUUACCAAGGCAACGAUGCAUAGCCGACCUGAGAGGGUGAUCGGCCACACUGGAACUGAGACACGGUCCAGACUCCUACGGGAGGCAGCAGUAGGGAAUCUUCCGCAAUGGGCGAAAGCCUGACGGAGCAACGCCGCGUGAGUGAUGAAGGUCUUCGGAUCGUAAAACUCUGUUAUUAGGGAAGAACAUAUGUGUAAGUAACUGUGCACAUCUUGACGGUACCUAAUCAGAAAGCCACGGCUAACUACGUGCCAGCAGCCGCGGUAAUACGUAGGUGGCAAGCGUUAUCCGGAAUUAUUGGGCGUAAAGCGCGCGUAGGCGGUUUUUUAAGUCUGAUGUGAAAGCCCACGGCUCAACCGUGGAGGGUCAUUGGAAACUGGAAAACUUGAGUGCAGAAGAGGAAAGUGGAAUUCCAUGUGUAGCGGUGAAAUGCGCAGAGAUAUGGAGGAACACCAGUGGCGAAGGCGACUUUCUGGUCUGUAACUGACGCUGAUGUGCGAAAGCGUGGGGAUCAAACAGGAUUAGAUACCCUGGUAGUCCACGCCGUAAACGAUGAGUGCUAAGUGUUAGGGGGUUUCCGCCCCUUAGUGCUGCAGCUAACGCAUUAAGCACUCCGCCUGGGGAGUACGACCGCAAGGUUGAAACUCAAAGGAAUUGACGGGGACCCGCACAAGCGGUGGAGCAUGUGGUUUAAUUCGAAGCAACGCGAAGAACCUUACCAAAUCUUGACAUCCUUUGACAACUCUAGAGAUAGAGCCUUCCCCUUCGGGGGACAAAGUGACAGGUGGUGCAUGGUUGUCGUCAGCUCGUGUCGUGAGAUGUUGGGUUAAGUCCCGCAACGAGCGCAACCCUUAAGCUUAGUUGCCAUCAUUAAGUUGGGCACUCUAAGUUGACUGCCGGUGACAAACCGGAGGAAGGUGGGGAUGACGUCAAAUCAUCAUGCCCCUUAUGAUUUGGGCUACACACGUGCUACAAUGGACAAUACAAAGGGCAGCGAAACCGCGAGGUCAAGCAAAUCCCAUAAAGUUGUUCUCAGUUCGGAUUGUAGUCUGCAACUCGACUACAUGAAGCUGGAAUCGCUAGUAAUCGUAGAUCAGCAUGCUACGGUGAAUACGUUCCCGGGUCU